CCUACGGGAGGCAGCAGUGAGGAAUAUUGGACAAUGGGCGCAAGCCUGAUCCAGCCAUGCCGCGUGCAGGAAGACGGUCCUAUGGAUUGUAAACUGCUUUUAUACAGGAAGAAACACCUCUACGUGUAGAGACUUGACGGUACUGUAUGAAUAAGCAUCGGCUAACUCCGUGCCAGCAGCCGCGGUAAUACGGAGGAUGCAAGCGUUAUCCGGAAUCAUUGGGUUUAAAGGGUCCGUAGGCGGUUUAAUAAGUCAGUGGUGAAAGCCCAUCGCUCAACGAUGGAACGGCCAUUGAUACUGUUAAACUUGAAUUAUUAGGAAGUAACUAGAAUAUGUAGUGUAGCGGUGAAAUGCUUAGAGAUUACAUGGAAUACCAAUUGCGAAGGCAGGUUACUACUAAUAUAUUGACGCUGAUGGACGAAAGCGUGGGGAGCGAACAGGAUUAGAUACCCUGGUAGUCCACGCCGUAAACGAUGGAUACUAGCUGUUCGGAGCAAUCUGAGUGGNGUAGAGAAGUAGAGUAAGUAUACCACCGUCGGGUAGGUACGGUUCGUCGAAGAAGUAGAAACGUACAAAUAAGUAAGUUAGUACGGACGUAGAGACGUUACGCCGACGGACGACGACGAGGGGAGGUAGGGAG
Molecule: ribosomal RNA, 640 nt
Filed under: uncultured bacterium
Lineage: Bacteria
Description: bacterial SSU rRNA
Rfam family: Bacterial small subunit ribosomal RNA (bases 1-534)
Source: RNAcentral